RNAcentral lists this unclassified non-coding RNA (337 nucleotides) under soil metagenome. Its description in RNAcentral is "partial contains 5.8S ribosomal RNA, internal transcribed spacer 2, and large subunit ribosomal RNA". The stretch from base 1 to 120 matches the Rfam family "5.8S ribosomal RNA", at positions 35 to 154 of the family's 154-position model. The record is from RNAcentral.
GAUGAAGAACGUAGCGAAAUGCGAUAAGUAGUGUGAAUUGCAGAAUUCAGUGAAUCAUCGAAUCUUUGAACGCACAUUGUGCCCUUUGGUAUUCCUUAGGGCAUGCCUGUUCGAGCGUCAUUUACAAAUUCAAGCUCAGCUUGGUGAUGGGUGUCUGUCCCGCCUCUGCGCGUGGACUCGCCUCAAAUGCAGUUGGCAGCUUAUCCCUCGGCUCUAAACGCAGCAGAUUUGCAUCGAGCGUCGUGUGGACGGGCUCUCCAGUAAGCAAACCCCCCAAAAUUGACCUCGGAUCAGGUAGGGAUACCCGCUGAACUUAAGCAUAUCAAUAAGCGGAGGA